RNAcentral lists this ribosomal RNA (180 nucleotides) under uncultured Glomeromycotina. Its description in RNAcentral is "partial small subunit ribosomal RNA". Lineage: Eukaryota; Fungi; Glomeromycota. The record is from RNAcentral.
GGAUCAGUACGCUGGUCGUGCCUUCGGUAUGUACUGGUGUUACUGGUUCCUACCUUCUGACGAACCGUCAUGUCAUUAAUUUGGUGUGGCGGGGAAUCAGGACUGUUACUUUGAAAAAAUUAGAGUGUUUAAAGCAAGUGAAUAACAGCCUGAAUACAUUAGCAUGGAAUAAUAGAAUAG